AAUAAUUCAAUAUGCAAAAAUUGGAGUGUUGAAAUUUCAGGGUUAAAAAUUUCCGAGUUGAUUUUCACUCCCAGAGUGUAAUUUUAACACAUUCUGAUUUAAAUGGUGUUCAGUGUUAUUUGGUUAUUUGGCAGAGUUGAUCAUGUCAGUGUUAACCCAACUCCGCAGAGAUGUAAUUAAGCUCCGCCCAUGCCUUUCACCUCUUCGGUUAGAGACAGAGAAGACAAGUCUGCACCAUUUUCUACCUCUCAUGCAGUACUACACGUUGAUAGAAGCUGUGCUAAGAGGCAAGUCUGGAGGUGAAGAAGUACUACAGAAGUACCAAACAACAGAAACCCUAACAGAUGCUGCAAGAAGACAAAUGGUUAAUUUCCUGGUGGCUCACAUGAUUGACAAUCAUGGGCACUGCCCCACUAAAACAAUCAGAGAAGAUUAUGCACGUGGGAUAGUGAUGCUGUUCCCUUCCCUUAAGGAUCCAUACUCCAAGAAGGGCUAUGAACACUUCUAUGAUGCUGCAAGCAGCACAGGAUACAUUUCUUGGCGUCUGAAAACAGUCCAGAGGAAGAUUCGUCAAGGAUCUGCACAGCCACUCUUUCAUCUCCUUCCACCACCUCCAGGGGGACUGAAGUCUCCAAAAAUUAGUGCAUGUGAUGCAGUUGAAAGACUUGUUGUAUUUCAUAAGUCAUGCUGCAGUUUGGAGGAGCAUCUCCGCAACCAGCAGGGUCGGCAGCCGUACCUCCUCGCUGUUGGGCGUCAGAAGAGCAAGAUUGACAGCCUCUACAUCACCAUGGAUAAGCGUCUCAUCCCAUGCAAGGCAAACCGCUUCCUCGGGGCAUGUGAUGAACUUUUCAAAGCACAUUUUGUGUUUAAUUUGUCUUACGAUGUGGCACUUGUGAAUUUUUAUACAUUCCUGCAGACAACAGUGUAUAACAUUGAUGUGGGGAAAAUGAAGGAGUCACCCAGAGUUAAAGACUUGAGAGCAAGACUGCUUAACCAGCCAGUAGCAUUCUCACCCUGUGAGUAAGAAGCUAUAACAAUGCUGACCUGUUUCAUGUGUUGAAAAACAAGCUAUUUACAGAGAAUUUUCAUGACCAUCAUCAUGCAUUCAGAGUAUUACAAAAUGCGGAAAGAUGUUUACUAAAAAUGUCUGCGCUUAAAUUUCAUAAACCGUUUCAUAUUCAAAGCUCAUACAAUGUUUUGGAUGGAAGUUUGUACAUUAUACCUUCAUUCACAAUGUUUUAAUUCAACUGACUGCAAGGGAGAAAAGGAAUAAAUGUUUUUGAAAAUGUUUUUGUUUAUUGUGAUGAAUUCUUAUUAAUUAUUAAGUAUAUAUUUAAUUAAUACAUUUAAAAUGAAUUAACAUUUUUUCAGUGUAGAUAAUUGACACAUUAGGG
This is a long non-coding RNA of Gasterosteus aculeatus aculeatus (three-spined stickleback), 1394 nucleotides long. NCBI's taxonomy places the organism in Eukaryota, Metazoa, Chordata, Actinopteri, Perciformes, Gasterosteidae. The record is from Ensembl.